RNAcentral lists this ribosomal RNA (481 nucleotides) under uncultured bacterium. RNAcentral's name for it is "bacterial SSU rRNA". It matches the Rfam family "Bacterial small subunit ribosomal RNA", at positions 28 to 511 of the family's 1533-position model. The record is from RNAcentral.
GACGAACGCUGGCGGCGUGCUUAAUACAUGCAAGUCAACUUGACUUUAGAUAGCAAUAUCGAAAAGUAGGGUGGCGCACGGGUGCGUAACGCGUAGGUAAUCUGCCCUGAGGUCUGACAUAACCCGUCGAAAGGCGGGCUAACAUCAGAUGAUAUAUAAUCACGACAUCGUGGAAAUAUCAAAUCUUCGGAGCCUUGGGAUGAGCCUGCGUCUGAUUAGGUAGUUGGCGGAGUAAUAGCCCACCAAGCCUACGAUCAGUAGCUGGUCUGAGAGGAUGAUCAGCCACACUGGAACUGAGACACGGUCCAGACUCCUACGGGAGGCAGCAGUAAGGAAUAUUGCUCAAUGGGGGAAACCCUGAAGCAGCAACGCCGCGUGAAGGAUGAAAUACUUUGUAUGUAAACUUCUGUAAGAUGGGAAAAUAUUCUCCUCGGAGAAUUGAUUGUACCAUCAGAGUAAGCCCCGGCUAACUACGUGCCAG